UUAAGUUCAGCGGGUAUCCCUACCUGAUCCGAGGUCAACCUGAAAAAAAUUGGGGGUUGAUGGCAAGCACACGACCGGACCUCCGGAGCGAGAAGAAUUACUACGCUCGGAGCCGGACGGCACCGCCACUGACUUUAGGGCCCGCCGGGGCGGCGGGGCCCAACACCAAGCUGAGCUUGAGGGGUGAUAAUGACGCUCGA
Molecule: unclassified non-coding RNA, 200 nt
Filed under: Geomyces sp.
Lineage: Eukaryota; Fungi; Ascomycota; Leotiomycetes; Thelebolales; Pseudeurotiaceae
Description: partial internal transcribed spacer 2
Source: RNAcentral